Molecule: long non-coding RNA, 199 nt
Filed under: Nicotiana benthamiana
Lineage: Eukaryota; Viridiplantae; Streptophyta; Magnoliopsida; Solanales; Solanaceae
Description: long non-coding RNA (NBEN_LNC003092)
Source: RNAcentral
CAGAAGUUUCAAUCAACCGAUGUGAUGCAUGCAGAGGGAGAGAACUGUGAAUUGCCAUUGCUGAUGACUGAAGUUCCUUCCAACAUUGCUGCGAGACGGUUGCAGUUUACCGAUGCCAUUGGAUCGAAGAAAUCCAUACCGACUGCAGCGGAUGUGGUGCGCGAAAAUCGUGAUUCUCAGAUGGGCAAGCAACUUUCAU